AGCAGCCGCGGUAAUUCCAGCUCCAAUAGCGUAUAUUAAAGUUGUUGCAGUUAAAAAGCUCGUAGUUGAAUUUCGGGGUUAGUAGGUUGGUCAUGCCUCUGGUAUGUACUGGUCUCACUGAUUCCUCCUUCCUGAUGAACCUUAAUGCCAUUAAUUUGGUGUUUUGGGGAAUUUGGACUGUUACUUUAGAAAAAUUAGAGUGUUUAAAGCAAGCUAACGCUUGAAUACAUUAGCAUGGAAUAAUGAAAUAGGACGUUCGAUCCUAUUUUGUUGGUUUCUAGGAUUGACGUAAUGAUUAAUAGGGAUAGUUGGGGGCAUUAGUAUUCAAUUGUCAGAGGUGAAAUUCUUGGAUUUAUUGAAGACUAACUACUGCGAAAGCAUUUGCCAAGGACGUUUUCAUUAAUCAAGAACGAAAGUUAGGGGAUCGAAGACGAUCAGAUACCGUCGUAGUCUUAACCAUAAACUAUGCCGACUAGGGAUCGGAUGAUGUUAAUUUUUUAAUGACUCAUUCGGCGCCUUA
RNAcentral lists this unclassified non-coding RNA (520 nucleotides) under uncultured Glomus. RNAcentral describes it as "SSU rRNA". It matches the Rfam family "Eukaryotic small subunit ribosomal RNA", at positions 569 to 1090 of the family's 1831-position model. The record is from RNAcentral. Lineage: Eukaryota; Fungi; Glomeromycota; Glomeromycetes; Glomerales; Glomeraceae.